CAGAUUAUACUAGAGAACUUGAUCGAUAGAUUCACUACACAAUCUCUACAUCAGAUUAUUGUCUCAACUUGACAUCAUCGGAUUGACAUUCUCUACAUAAAGCUCGUGCGAGCGAGAGCGUGCUACAAGUCGAAAAAAAAAAUUCCCCUCUACAGCAUGUGCUCCCACAUCAUUUUCUCACUUCUCAACUUGAGUUCCACACCUCAUAAACAGUUGAGGUCUCGUUGAGGCAACACACCUGAGAGGAAGCUACAGCUGAGAGGAGCCACCUACACACUCGAGCACGCAGCCAUCACAUAGAAAAUGCCGAGAAUACAAAGUUAUCGUUGUGAACUAACUGAACUAUUGGAGACGCAUCAGCAAUUAUUGAACCAGUUAGCAGAAAAAGGAUGGACAAAUAUGAAAUAUCUAACAUUUGUGAGAGACUAUGAAAAAUUAGGAGUUUGGCAUAGUGAUAACUAUAAUCAUAUUUCAGUUUGUGAUUUAUACGGUACAUCAUAUGAUGCUUACAGGGGAAAAGAUUGCCCCGAUUCAUGGAGAUGUGAUUGUGCACAUCUUAAAGAGUCUAUCGAUAAAAUUAAAAAAUAUAUAACAGAAAAAAAUAAACAUUCAACAAAAGAACAAUUAAAUGAACUUAUCUGGAAUUUUUUAUCUAGAUGUUCAGAUGAGAGUGGGCUAGAACAAGAUUGAUAGCAUAUUAUGUUUAAUUUCAGAUUGGAGAUGG
This 724-nucleotide long non-coding RNA is filed under the name Nilaparvata lugens (brown planthopper). Its description in RNAcentral is "uncharacterized LOC120349031, transcript variant X2". Lineage: Eukaryota; Metazoa; Arthropoda; Insecta; Hemiptera; Delphacidae. The record is from RNAcentral.